UACGGAGGGUGCAAGCGUUGUCCGGAUUUAUUGGGUUUAAAGCGCACGUAGGCGGAUCAGUCAGUCAGGGGUGAAAUCCCGGGGCUCAACCCCGGAACUGCCAUUGAUACUGGAAGGCUUGAGUUCGGUCGAGGCGGGCGGAACUGGUGGUGUAGCGGUGAAAUGCAUAGAUACCACCAAGAACCCCGAUUGCGAAGGCAGCUCGCUGGGCCGAAACUGACGCUGAGGCACGAAAGCGCGGGGAGCGAACAGG
This 253-nucleotide unclassified non-coding RNA is filed under the name uncultured Hymenobacteraceae bacterium. Its description in RNAcentral is "contains 16S-23S intergenic spacer region". It matches the Rfam family "Bacterial small subunit ribosomal RNA", at positions 524 to 776 of the family's 1533-position model. Lineage: Bacteria; Pseudomonadati; Bacteroidota; Cytophagia; Cytophagales; Hymenobacteraceae. The record is from RNAcentral.